This 619-nucleotide long non-coding RNA is filed under the name Salmo salar (Atlantic salmon). RNAcentral describes it as "lncRNA (ENSSSAG00000090536.1)". Lineage: Eukaryota; Metazoa; Chordata; Actinopteri; Salmoniformes; Salmonidae. The record is from RNAcentral.
GUUAGAGGUAGUACCGGGGCUGGGGUUAGAGGUAGUGUUGGGGGUUAGAGGUAGUACUGGGGUUAGAGGUAGUACCGGGGCUGGGGUUAGAGGUAGUACCGGGGCUGGGGUUAGAGGUAGUACCGGGGCUGGGGUUAGAGGUAGUACCGGGACUGGGGUUAGUGGUAGUACCGGGACUGGGGUUAGAGGUAGUACUGGGGCUGGGGCUAGAGGUAGUACUGGGGCUGGGGUUAGAGGUAGUACUGGGGCUGGGGCUGGGGAUAGAGGUAGUACUGGGGCUGGGGUUAGAGGUAGUACCAGGGCUGGGGUUAGAGGUAGUACUGGGGUUAGAGGUAGUACUGGGGCUGGGGUUAGAGGUAGUACUGGGACUGGGGUUAGAGGUAGUACUGGGGCUGGGGUUAGAGGUAGUACCGGGGCUGGGGUUAGAGGUAGUACUGGGAUUAGAGGUAGUACUGGGGCUGGGGUUAGAGGUAGUACUGGGGUUAGAGGUAGUACUGGGGCUAGGGUUAGAGGUAGUACCGGGGCUGGGGUUAGAGGUAGUACUGGGGCUGGGGUUAGAGGUAGUACCGGGACUGGGGUUACAGAUAGUACCGGGGCUGGGGUUAGAGGUAGUACUGGG